Molecule: long non-coding RNA, 948 nt
Filed under: Equus caballus (horse)
Lineage: Eukaryota; Metazoa; Chordata; Mammalia; Perissodactyla; Equidae
Description: lncRNA (ENSECAG00000036544.3)
Source: RNAcentral
GGGAGAGCAGCAGGGGAAGAAAUCUUUUCAAUCUGGAUGAACAGAUCAGCUGCCUUGGACACCAUGCUGUUCUGGCCAAACCAGGGUUUCUGUGACAUCAUGCCCCAUUCUCAUACUGUCAGCAAAAUUCCCUGAGGACAACAGCUGCCACUGCCUACGUACAAGUGUUUCUGCUCACUCCAUUCAGGAAUGCAUGCCAGUCCUCCUUUCCCUGAGGCUGCUUAUCUCCUUUCUGCUCACUCAAGAUGCUAGGUUCAGUGAGGAUGAGGAUGCUGGAAGAACAUGUUUUCAUGACAGUCAGAGGACCACAUGUGAGGUGGCCCAAAACUAGCCAUCCAUCUCCAGAGCUGCACUAGGAUCCACAGAUGGGUUUUAGCCUGGCAGGAAAAUAGCUAUGCCCAUUCCUGAGUCCUUUAGUUGUGACGAUAUCUGGAGAGAGAAAAGGGACCAUCUCUUCCCGGGCCUCUUUUCUAAGAAUAAGGAAACUUCUUCCAUAACUCCUCCAGCAGACUUCACUUUGCACCUUAUUGGCCAGAAGUGUGUUACGUGACAAUUCUUCAACCAAGAAGGGGAACGGAUUAGCUUGACAGGCUGCAGACUACCCUUCGAACUGAGCAUGAAGUCAUCUUCCUCCAAGUCAUGUGUGAGGACGUGAAGGAAGUGAGAUAUCUGAACACAAAGGAAGGAAGAAGGGAGAAUGAGCAUUGGAUAGACAAUCAGUUGAGCACUUGGAGCUGCUUUGUGCGAGCUUGUGAGAGUCAACUGUUAGACUCAGGAAUUUUGAAUGCUGGCAGUUAAACACAGCCAUUAUCAAAAAUUAAGUUAUAUAAUCUUACAGUUAAAAUAUGUUAAAGCAAAAGUAAUAAAUACUCAAAAGUGAUCAAUCUCUAAUUAUUUUUACUACAUCAUUCUAUUAUCUAUGCUUUUGAUGUUUUGUAUCUGUGUGGG